This 73-nucleotide transfer RNA is filed under the name Lachnospiraceae bacterium. RNAcentral describes it as "tRNA-Val". It matches the Rfam family "tRNA". From Rfam's summary of the family: Transfer RNA (tRNA) molecules are approximately 80 nucleotides in length. Their secondary structure includes four short double-helical elements and three loops (D, anti-codon, and T loops). The record is from RNAcentral. RNAcentral also lists the same sequence under 1 other name. Lineage: Bacteria; Bacillati; Bacillota; Clostridia; Lachnospirales; Lachnospiraceae.
GGGAUCUUAGCUCAGCUGGGAGAGCAUCUGCCUUACAAGCAGGAGGUCAUAGGUUCGAGCCCUAUAGGUCCCA